CUGCGGGGGACAAAACGCAAUGCGUUUUGAGCGUUGGCUCUGCCAACGACCCCAAAGGGGUGAGUAAGUGAGUUUCCGAGCUUGCGAAUAAC
Aggregatibacter actinomycetemcomitans D11S-1 is the source of this 92-nucleotide non-coding RNA. Lineage: Bacteria; Pseudomonadati; Pseudomonadota; Gammaproteobacteria; Pasteurellales; Pasteurellaceae. The record is from Rfam.